This 190-nucleotide small RNA is filed under the name pig gut metagenome. RNAcentral's name for it is "Bacteroidales-1 6S-Bacteroidales RNA suggested". It matches the Rfam family "Bacteroidales-1 6S-Bacteroidales RNA suggested". The record is from RNAcentral.
AGUUGAUUGGGAAACUCAUCAAUUUUAUGUGAAAUGCCGAGACAAACUCGCUUGCUGAUGGCGGGCCCCACAUCCUUCGGGAUGUUGGCAGCAGCUUCCUUGAGAACCCUGCCCAGGCGGAUUACAAAGGCAAGAGAGAACUCAAAUCCUGUCAUUCGGAGUUUCAUCGCAUCCUUUGAUGUGGCACUUU